AGACCACAGAUAUUCCGGUGCAUCACUGUAACUUCUGGGCUGCUCUCGGCUGCCUUUGUAGCGCUUCUGUUCUCGGUAGCUACGCAGGGCCAGCACCACGCUGGCACUAUACAUGAUCACGAGAAGACAAGCAAAGGUGGCUGCUGCUCCGUCAGUGCCUGCCAGCUGGCAGUUCAUCCAGGUGAGACCCUUGCGGGCAUAGAGCCUCUCUCUUGUUUUGCAAGUGUCGGUGCUAUUGAUCUGCAGAGCCACGUGGAGGUAAACACCAAUGCCUGUGCAGUAGCCCGCUGCCGCUAGGAGGCUGAAGGCGGCCUCUGUGAGGAGCCACUUCCCUGACAACAUUGUUAGACUCUUGGCUCCUUGGAGUAAAACACCCAUGGUGAGGACCCCCAGACCCAGAGAAACAGCCACGCCACCAUAUAUCAGGGGCGACCGGAGGAUCGUGUACUGCUGGUCCAGCUGCCGAACCUGCUCUAGCUCAGUGCCCUCGAACGAUGUUUUUAGAUCAGUUCCUACAAGAGGAGCCACAUUUUGUUAAGUGGCCUUCGACUUCAUUGUAUGGAUGGAUUUGUCUGUUCAACCAGGACCUUACUGAUAGAUAUUUGGACUGAAAGGAACCCACAAAUGGCACAAGGCAGAGGAAGCCAACAGGCCAACAGACUGAAGAUCUUCUUGUCCAAGGUCAGCUUUUAUUUGUUACUGACAGAGGCCCCAAAUCCUUCUUAGGUGUCCUUCUGGGAGAGGUUCUCCUGCCAUUCCAGUGGCGUUCAGGGAUGAGCAUGAAGAGAAAAACAAAUGAACCAAGAGCAGGACCACUAGAUUCAAGUCCCUGCUUUUUACUGUCUUGUCAUCUUGGCCAAGCCAUUCAGUCCUUCUAAGCCUCAGACAAUAUGACAAAUGAAGCUAAGUCUGCCAAUCUUCACCCACAGGGAUGUGGGGAGGCUCAAAUGAAAGCAACCGUGUGAUAAUGUGGGAAGUUAACAACAACAACAAAAAAGCAAGUAUGUGAAAAUACUCUAAAAAUAAAAUAGUAUACAAAUGGA
Pongo pygmaeus (Bornean orangutan) is the source of this 1043-nucleotide long non-coding RNA. RefSeq lists it as uncharacterized. NCBI's taxonomy places the organism in Eukaryota, Metazoa, Chordata, Mammalia, Primates, Hominidae. The record is from RefSeq and is a predicted model, not a curated record. The transcript has 2 exons.